RNAcentral lists this long non-coding RNA (1364 nucleotides) under Callithrix jacchus (white-tufted-ear marmoset). Its description in RNAcentral is "lncRNA (ENSCJAG00000071200.1)". Lineage: Eukaryota; Metazoa; Chordata; Mammalia; Primates; Cebidae. The record is from RNAcentral.
CAGGGUAACAAAUGUGAACUACUGAUUAGAACUGGUGGAAAAAGUUGUUUACUGAAACUACAAGGAAGUUAAACUUCAAAGUAGAUAAUUAAAGAAUAAGAGAGUGGGCCGGGCUUGGUGGCUCACACCUGUAAUCCUAGCACUUUGGGAGGCUGAGGCGGGUGGAUCACCUGAGCUUGAGAGUUCGAGACCAACCUGACCAACAUAGAGAAACCCUGUCUCUACUAGAAAUACAAAAAUUGUCCAGGUAUGGUGGCGCAUGCCUGUAAUCCCAGCUACUCGGGAGGCUGAAGCAGGAGAAUCACUUGAACCCAGGAGAUGGAGGUUGCAGUGACCUGAGAUCACGCCAUUGCACUCCAGCUUGGGCCACAAGAGCGAGACUCCAUCUCAAAAAAAAAAGAAUAAGAGAGCUGAACAUACUGACAUACUGAUUCUUUGAAGAGAAACUCAGAGUUCACUACAUCUAAUGAUAGUUUAGUUACAAUUUAGUUUACUAGUCCUACUUCUUGGAACUUACUGAAUGUUUUUUCCUUUUUCUAGCCCAGCAUAGGCUAAUUUUGGUAAGUGAGCACACACAUACACAAAGUGUACUUUCUGCUUUUAGGAAAUAGCGUUGGUAUACAUGAAUAAGCUAUACCAUAUUAAUUGUUACUAAAGGUCUACUAUAGUCUUACCUAUUUUUGUCCACAAGGUCUGUCAUAGGCUGUAUGUGAGGUUUUAGUAGCCCAUGCUGCAUAACAAAGAAAUCUCAAAUCUCAUUGGCUUAAACAGCAAAUCGUAUUUCUUGCUUGUGCAGCAUGAAGACUGCAGGUUGAUUGCUGUUCAGCUGGGGUCUGCUUGAUUCCACCUAGAGAACUCCACAGGUCUUCUCAUUUCAUACCGGAGGCUGAGGAAGAUGUCAAGCUCUGAGUACAUGCCAUUCUCACGGUCUAGGGCUGGAACCAGGGCUACAAUGGGACAUUUUAUGGAUGGCAGUAAUGAAAAUGCAUCAUGUGUGUCUCCUGCUUCAGAAGCAUAACUGACUCGUGGCUCCGCUGCUGUCCUUUGUGACGCACCACCACCUUUAUGCUAAAGACACGCCUCCUGCCAACUCCCCUGAGCCAAUGACUGUGUUCAGAUGCCUGCAUUUACUUGGCAGAUGCUAGUGGAAAGCAGAAAGAGGUGAGGUGUGCUAGAAUGGAUAUAUUAUGUGAAACUUGGACACUAACCAGAGAAGUAUAUUCUAUAGGAAGGCCCAUUCCCUGAAGCAUCAGGCCUCACCUAUGUUCAGUGGUUGCUGUCACAGAGCUGGGUAAUUAUUAUUCAUGAGGAUAGUAAGGCCUCAAAAUGAGAGGCCAAAUGGCCAAACUUAAGCCGUAGAAACC